Molecule: long non-coding RNA, 276 nt
Organism: Aricia agestis (brown argus)
Lineage: Eukaryota; Metazoa; Arthropoda; Insecta; Lepidoptera; Lycaenidae
Exons: 2
Source: RefSeq, a predicted model, not a curated record
CUUUCGAUCUGAACUUGAAGACUAUGAUGUCAAUAGACCUGACCGCUUAUUGAAAUCUGCUAUACCAAAGAUUUGUGGGUGUUGCGAAACAUUGGAAUGUCUUAAUAUUCCUUCAAGCUCACGAGAAACUCCUUGCGCUAAAGCGUCAGCAAUGCCGAUACUUGAAAAAUAUGUAAGCAUUAAAAAUUUAUGGCUGACUUUGAGACUUAGAUUAUCAUUUACAUUUUCAUCUCACAUUGCUACCUCUUUCAGCUCGAUGAAAAUGAACCACCUAAA